RNAcentral lists this long non-coding RNA (663 nucleotides) under Podarcis lilfordi (Lilford's wall lizard). Lineage: Eukaryota; Metazoa; Chordata; Lepidosauria; Squamata; Lacertidae. The record is from RNAcentral.
GCCUUUAACCCAUAAGCAUUUUUUUUAUUUAUAGAAAAACAGUCUUCCUCAGCUGCUAUUUGGUCUGGAAGGAAAAUUCUUAUGGGCAUCUUAUAUUUUCAUGAGGAAUCUCCCCCCUCUUCCCACACAGUGAACCUGAUCAAAAUCAGGAGCCCCACGGCUGCUAUGUGAUUUUUAAUGUAUUAUGAUAGAACUCUGGUUUUCUGGACUUCAAAGGAUUAAUGCUUGCCUUCUUGGUUUAAAGCAAAAGAAGAGGAGGAGGAGGAGUUUGGAUUUGAUAUCCCGCUUUAUCACUACCCAAAGGAGUCGCAAAGCGGCUAACAUUCUCCUUUCCCUUCCUCCCUCACACCAAACACUCUGUGAGGUGAGUGGGGCUGAGAGACUUCAGAGAAGUGUGACUAGGCCAAGGUCACCCAGCAGCUGCAUGCGGAGGAGCGGGGAAGCGAACCUGGUUCACCAGAUUAUGAGUCUACCCCUCUUAACUACUACACCACACUGGCCGAACCGAACCAAACUCCAUUCACCUCCCUUUGGGAACGUCUGUUGGGCAGCAGCAUUAUUAGAGCAUUAAAAAUAAACUCCUGGGAACAAUCUGAAGACAAAUCUCCAGCAGAGAAAGACCAUUCAACAAAUUACAGUGCAUAUCUCCUUGUGUUUCUCAGC